Molecule: ribosomal RNA, 253 nt
Filed under: uncultured bacterium
Lineage: Bacteria
Description: partial 16S ribosomal RNA
Rfam family: Bacterial small subunit ribosomal RNA
Source: RNAcentral
GACAGAGGUGCCGAGCGUUAGGCGGAAUCACUGGGCUUAAAGCGCGUGUAGGCGGCCAGGUAGGUCUGCUGUGAAAACUCGAGGCUCAACCUCGAGCUGUCGGCGGAAACCCUCUGGCUAGAGUCCGGAAGAGGAGAGUGGAAUUCCCGGUGUGGCGGUGAAAUGCGCAGAUAUCGGGAAGAACACCCGUGGCGAAGGCGGCUCUCUGGGACGGUACUGACGCUGAGACGCGAAAGCGUGGGGAGCGAACAGG